This 236-nucleotide ribosomal RNA is filed under the name uncultured bacterium. RNAcentral's name for it is "partial 16S ribosomal RNA". It matches the Rfam family "Bacterial small subunit ribosomal RNA", at positions 113 to 334 of the family's 1533-position model. The record is from RNAcentral.
CAACGUAGGUAAUCUACCUUCGGAUGGGGAAUAACAAUCGGAAACGGUUGCUAAUACCGCAUAAUGCAGCGGCACCUAAUGGUGACAGUUGUUAAAGCGGGGGAUCGAAAGACCUCGCGUCUGAAGAGGAGCCUGCGGCGGAUUAGCUUGUUGGUAAGGUAACGGCUUACCAAGGCGACGAUCCGUAGCCGGCCUGAGAGGGCGGUCGGCCACACUGACACUGACAUACGGGUCAG